AAGACCUUGUGCUUUUGGAGCGGCCGAUGCCUGAUUAGCUUGUUGGUAAGGUAAAAGCUUACCAAGGCUUCGAUCAGUAGCUGGUCUGAGAGGACGACCAGCCACACUGGGACUGAGACACGGCCCAGACUCCUACGGGAGGCAGCAGUGGGGAAUUUUGGACAAUGGGCGCAAGCCUGAUCCAGCCAUGCCGCGUGAGUGAAGAAGGCCUUCGGGUUGUAAAGCUCUUUCAGUCGGGAAGAAAAGGUUGCGACUAAUAAUCGUGAUCAAUGACGGUACCGGAAGAAGAAGCACCGGCUAACUACGUGCCAGCAGCCGCGGUAAUACGUAGGGUGCGAGCGUUAAUCGGAAUUACUGGGCGUAAAGCGUGCGCAGGUGGUUUUGUAAGUCAGAUGUGAAAGCCCCGGGCUCAACCUGGGAACU
RNAcentral lists this ribosomal RNA (423 nucleotides) under uncultured bacterium. RNAcentral's name for it is "bacterial SSU rRNA". It matches the Rfam family "Bacterial small subunit ribosomal RNA", at positions 202 to 622 of the family's 1533-position model. The record is from RNAcentral.